AUUGAACGCUGGCGGAAUGCUUUACACAUGCAAGUCGAACGGCAGCACGGACUUCGGUCUGGUGGCGAGUGGCGAACGGGUGAGUAAUGUAUCGGAACGUGCCCAGUCGUGGGGGAUAACGUAGUGAAAAUUACGCUAAUACCGCAUACGAUCUAUGGAUGAAAGCGGGGGAUCGCAAGACCUCGCGCGAUUGGAGCGGCCGAUAUCAGAUUAGGUAGUUGGUGGGGUAAAGGCCCACCAAGCCAACGAUCUGUAGCUGGUCUGAGAGGACGACCAGCCACACUGGAACUGAGAAACGGUCCAGACUCCUGCGGGAGGCAGUAGUGGGGAAUUUUGGACAAUGGGCGAAAGCCUGAUACAGCCAUUCCGCGUGCAGGAUGAAGGCCCUCGGGUUGUAAACUGCUUUUGUACAGAACGAAAAGGUUUCUACUAAUACUAGGAGCUCAUGACGGUACUGUAAGAAUAAGCACCGGCUAACUACGUGCCAGCAGCCGCGGUAA
Molecule: ribosomal RNA, 500 nt
Filed under: uncultured bacterium
Lineage: Bacteria
Description: partial 16S ribosomal RNA
Rfam family: Bacterial small subunit ribosomal RNA
Source: RNAcentral